RNAcentral lists this long non-coding RNA (4159 nucleotides) under Solanum lycopersicum (tomato). RNAcentral describes it as "partial TCONS_00086932". The record is from RNAcentral. Lineage: Eukaryota; Viridiplantae; Streptophyta; Magnoliopsida; Solanales; Solanaceae.
GUUUCUCUAAGGGUAUUUUAGACUUUCACUGCACCAAAUUGCAACGCCUUAGGGCUCCUCUUCUCUUUAUGAGAAGCAAAAAUUUGAUUUUUGACUGCAGAAACCAAUUACUCUGUGGAAGGGUGACAAUCGCAAAAAGCUCAGAUUUUGCUGCGAAGCUUCAAUUUGGACAAAGGUAACAAUGGCUUAUUCUUAUAUUCUCAUUACAUUGCUAUUGAGGCAGCACUACUAUUGGUGCUGAGUAAAAUUUUUCCCUCUUUUGGUGAAGUAUUAGCAGAAAGAUAAAUACUUUAUACAAUGGAGGUACGAGUACUUCGAGAGUCUCUCAAGGCUUGGGGAUUGCAAUAAUGGUGUGUGAUAUCAUAAAUUAUCCAUAUUUGGUUUAGCAAAGUAAUGCCCUAUGUAGCAUUACAAAGAAAAUUAACAAAUAGAAAGGAUGAAUACACAACUGAAGAUUAGUUAAUCAUUUACGCCCCUGUAUGUCCGUACUCGGAAAUACUGACCAUUAGAAAAGAAGUUAAGCUAAUAUUGGUGGUUCAUUGGGUGGAGUGUGGUAGGGCUUUUAACCAAACCAACUAGGUAAAAGAAAGAGAAGAAGAGAUUCUAAUCGACAUGUUACUUGAAACCAAUAGUCAUGACAUCUGAAGCUACAUUCUUGAGAUAGUGUCUUUUCACAAGUUUUGCUUUGAUCAAAUCCAUCUAUAUGUAGUAUGUAAAGUUGAAAUAAUUUGCCAAUAAAUUAAGUGUUGAAGUACAUUCUUUACGUUUGUUGUCAUUUUAUCUAAGUUAAGGGGUGAUUUUAUUAUUUCCUUUCUUUACUUGUAGAAAAUGAUACGAUAAAUUAUUAUAUCACCUAUUUUUUGAUGUUGUGCAAGGCGUGUCAUUUUCUUCAUUCAGAUUUUAGGAAGAUUAUAGCAUUAAUACCUGCGGGAAAAAAAAACUUAAUAUAGAUAGAUCCUCAAUUGGAAAAGGUUCUCGCUUAGUGAAAGAAGGCCAUGAUAAGAAUGCCAAAUGGCGUAAAAUCUAUGAUCAUAUGACAUGGCACUUUAAACUCUAAUCUAUGUGGAAAUUAGGGUUCUAACAGGGACUUUUCACUGUCUUCGGAUGCUGGAGUCAUCUCACGUCUUAGUUUCUUGUAGUCUUAUCUUUGAUAUGAUGGUUAAGUUUUUUCUAACAUGAUUUUAUCUUGUAAUAGGAUUGCGAUGGACACUAUUAAACAAGAAAAAGUAAGGAGAUUUGAGGAGUUUAUUGAUCGCCGUCUGAAACCAGAUCUUGUUCAUGCAAUUGCUGAACGGUAGUAAUAAAUAUAUCAUUCACUUCAGUUUUCCUGAAUUCGUUUUCUAUUACAUAUACAUUUAUUUGUUUUGGGGACUUCUUAUCUCAUUUACUGUUCAACCCUUUUCCUUGAAUGAGAAAGAUGUUUUUCAACUAAACACUUGUCUUAUUAAUGGGAAUGGAUCUUUGAUGACCUUUAGAUAAAAGGUCUUUUCAAGAAUAUUCUCGUUUUGGUGGUUCUAAGAAUGUUCUUUCAAAACUUAUUUGCCAUGUUGUAUUAAUGGUCCAAUUGUGUAGUGGAAUAAAAACUAACUAAAUGUAUUCAUGUCCUGGUUAUUUUUUGGUCAUCGAAAUGGGGCUUAAAUCCGCAUUGUCAUACACAUAAAUUUUAACAUUUAUAUGUGUGAAGAACGGGGACUUCCAAACAUUGCAUAGGAAGUAAUGGAAUGAUUUACACCCAACAUUGCUAAAGUUACCUAUGUAUGAAAAAAGAUGUAAUAAGAUUUUCUGCACAAAAUCUUAUGGUGGCCUAACUUUGUUUCAUCUUGUUGCGUUCCACUUUAUGGCUACAGGGACAAGGUUUUUGAACAACAAAAGAUUUUGUAUCCUUUUCAUGUUAUUAUAUUGUUACAUUACCAACAUAUAGUUAGAUCAUUUUUUCAGUCUUUCAGACUUUUAGUAGUAGUUUGCACUUGCAGGCAUGUGAGUUGAUGAAUUAUUUAAUUACUUAUAUGGAAAUUGACGUUGGAAUGAGGUCUACAUAGUUUUCUUAACCAUAUCUUUUCUUAGCUCUGAUUUAAGACGUAAUAUAGAGAAUUUGGAGAAGAACAAUGUAACUAAUCUGAAGACAUUGGUUAAUAUUGGCUCUGAAGUAUACCUGCAAGCUGAUGUGUAAGUCUUUCUAAUCUUUAUUUAAAUGUUUGUAGAAAAUUAUUGAAUAUAUAAUAGUUAAGUGAUGGCUACUUUUUUUUGAAUAUGUAUCGAUACUUUUUGCUUCUUUUUUUUCAUUUACAAUUGAAAAUCUGUAUCUUGAUGAUUUCAAAUACCUCGGUAUUUUCAUCCACUGCAUAUUGAUAUUUCUUCCUGAGUUGAUCUGACAGCCCAGAUACAACACGCAUAUUUGUUGAUGUUGGACUUGGAUUUCAUGUGGAGUUUACUUGGUCAGAAGCUCUAAAUUAUAUAUCAGCAAGGGAGGAGAAACUAGCCAGGUAUUACUAAUCUUUGCUUCUAUCAGUAGUGUCUUAUUUCCAUUUGAGGACUUAAAUUAACUAAAGUCAUCUUCUGUUCUUAAGAUUUGGAAAAUAAGUGCAAUGAUAAAUAUAGCAUUCAGUAAAUUGGCCAUCUUAAAAGUAGAUCAAACACCUCAAGGAGCAUUCAAUAGGAUGUAGAGUUGGGAUCUCUUUCUUGCUAAUCAGAAGAGAUAGGAUGUGUUUCAUAAAUCUAGUUACUGGUAAGUCAGGCACUUGAAUAAAUGGAGAUGAAAAGGUACGCCAGUGUCAAAGGCAUGUAGUUAGUAGCAUAUUUUAAUAGCCAUCACGCCAUUUUCCAUGCAAUGGACUGAGUCUGGCUAGGUGGAGGAAUAUGCACCAAUUCAGAGUCAUAAAAGUUCUCAAAAAACUCAAGCCGUGAAGUUGUGAAGGAAAAGCUAAAAAUCUUGUUUAUGCAAAAAUUGGCUACUCUAAUAGAGAUUUGUAUAGUACUGGUAAAGCUAAAAUCUCCUGAACUACCACCUUAAUUACGAUCCAAUGACAGCAUAACUCAACUAACAAGUCCAAAUUAUUCUGCUCAAGCAUGUUUUUUGUUUUCCAGUUUGGAUAAACUUUAAUUAGACUCUGCUAUUAAUUAAAAGAUAGGAAGAUCGAAUAUGAGCAUGUGAAUAUUAAUGUCUAAUCAGCUUAGAUGUUUGUGCUUAUUUUGCUCCCCCUUCUCUAUUUUCACUUUAAGUUUCUUGGUAUUGGAACCAACUAGUUCAGCUCUUGUUUUUUUUCUGGAGUGGAUGGAAGUGAAUGAUGGGUGCGUUUUUGAACCUUUCACAUUCAAAAAAGAGGAAAAACCUUCUCCGCAUGUUUUCUUUCAUUUUUCCAUGUUUUGAGUGGAAACACUCUGUUCAACAGUUCAAAAGAUAUUCUUCUGAGCCAUGUUUCUUGCCUUAAACUAAAUGUAGAUCUUUUGCAAUCAAAUGUGCAGGCAAAUAGAGGAAUAUACACGUCUAGUUGCAUCAAUUAAGGCCCAGAUCAAGAUGGUUUGUGAAGGGAUCCGUGAGUUGCUCCAGAUUCCACCAGAACGAGCUUACUAAGGUGUAUACGUCUUAAAUUGCUAAAGAAGAGGGGAUUUACCGCGACAAGGGACCCAAAAAGUGAAGAACAAAGCCAACAUAAUCUUCUAUCCAUUGAAAGAGCAGUGCAGAUUUUAAAAUCCUUUACACUAACACUAGUAAAAUGUUAGUGUGUUUCUGUAAAGUUUUGUUUUGUUGAGAUGCAGUAAAAUGAGUUGGAGGCAGAUUCAACCAUUGAUGUCUGACCCUCAUUUUAUAUUGUUCAUUUACCCUCAUUUUAUAUUGUCCAUUUUAGUGGUUGAGUUAGAUCAAAUGUUCAUAUCGUUUCAUACGGAAUCAUUGUAUCAUGAGAUCAAAUUCACAGUCAAAGUUAAAUUGUACGGGGUUAUUAUAUCAUGAGAUUAAAUUUAAUGUCGCGGUUAAAUUGUAUGGAAUUAUUGUAUCAUGAAAUCAAAUUCAUUGUUGAGGUUAAAUUGUGAAUUCUUUUCAUUAUCUGUUGUAGAAAGAAAGAUCAAACCAAUAAAAGAAUGGUAUAUUACCAAAUAGCAUAGCAAGCUUACACAUUGAAAAUUUGUUUGGUUUUCUAGCACCCCCACGUCUUGACUAGAG